AGCGAACGCUGGCGGCAUGCCUAACACAUGCAAGUCGAACGAGACCUUCGGGUCUAGUGGCGCACGGGUGCGUAACGCGUGGGAACCUGCCCUUAGGUUCGGAAUAACUCCCCGAAAGGGGUGCUAAUACCGGAUAAUGUCUUCGGACCAAAGAUUUAUCGCCUUUAGAUGGGCCCGCGUUGGAUUAGCUAGUUGGUAGGGUAAAAGCCUACCAAGGCGACGAUCCAUAGCUGGUCUGAGAGGAUGAUCAGCCACACUGGGACUGAGACACGGCCCAGACUCCUACGGGAGGCAGCAGUGGGGAAUAUUGGACAAUGGGCGAAAGCCUGAUCCAGUAAUGCCGCGUGAGUGAUGAAGGCCUUAGGGUUGUAAAGCUCUUUUACCCGGGAUGAUAAUGACAGUACCGGGAGAAUAAGCUCCGGCUAGCUCCGUG
This 433-nucleotide ribosomal RNA is filed under the name uncultured bacterium. Its description in RNAcentral is "partial 16S ribosomal RNA". It matches the Rfam family "Bacterial small subunit ribosomal RNA", at positions 29 to 507 of the family's 1533-position model. The record is from RNAcentral.